UACGGGGGGUGCAAACGUUGUUCGGAAUUACUGGGCGUAAAGCGAGUGUAGGCGGUCUCAAGAGUCGGGUGUGAAAGCCCUGGGCUCAACCCAGGAAGUGCACUCGAAACUGCGAGGCUAGAGUAUCGGAGAGGUUGGUGGAAUUCUCGGUGUAGAGGUGAAAUUCGUAGAUAUCGUGAGGAACACCAGAGGCGAAGGCGGCUACCUGGACAAUUGCUGACGCUCAGACACGAAAGCGUGGGGAGCAAAAGGG
RNAcentral lists this ribosomal RNA (253 nucleotides) under uncultured bacterium. Its description in RNAcentral is "partial 16S ribosomal RNA". It matches the Rfam family "Bacterial small subunit ribosomal RNA", at positions 524 to 776 of the family's 1533-position model. The record is from RNAcentral.